AAUAGAUACCCUGGUAGUCCACGCCGUAAACGAUGAGUGCUAAGUGUUAGAGGGUUUCCGCCCUUUAGUGCUGAAGUUAACGCAUUAAGCACUCCGCCUGGGGAGUACGGCCGCAAGGCUGAAACUCAAAGGAAUUGACGGGGGCCCGCACAAGCGGUGGAGCAUGUGGUUUAAUUCGAAGCAACGCGAAGAACCUUACCAGGUCUUGACAUCCUCUGACAACCCUAGAGAUAGGGCUUCUCCUUCGGGAGCAGAGUGACAGGUGGUGCAUGGUUGUCGUCAGCUCGUGUCGUGAGAUGUUGGGUUAAGUCCCGCAACGAGCGCAACCCUUGAUCUUAGUUGCCAUCAUUAAGUUGGGCACUCUAGGGUGACUGCCGGUGACAAACCGGAGGAAGGUGGGGAUGACGUCAAAUCAUCAUGCCCCUUAUGACCUGGGCUACACACGUGCUACAAUGGACGGUACAAAGAGCUGCAAGACCGCGAGGUGGAGCUAAUCUCAUAAAACCGUUCUCAGUUCGGAUUGUAGG
This 527-nucleotide ribosomal RNA is filed under the name uncultured bacterium. RNAcentral's name for it is "bacterial SSU rRNA". It matches the Rfam family "Bacterial small subunit ribosomal RNA", at positions 777 to 1304 of the family's 1533-position model. The record is from RNAcentral.